GGGGGUGUAGCUCAGUUGGGAGAGCGCGGCGUUCGCAACGCCGAGGUCGUCGGUUCAAUCCCGAUCACCUCCA
RNAcentral lists this transfer RNA (73 nucleotides) under Candidatus Margulisiibacteriota bacterium. Its description in RNAcentral is "tRNA-Ala". It matches the Rfam family "tRNA". Rfam says of the family: Transfer RNA (tRNA) molecules are approximately 80 nucleotides in length. Their secondary structure includes four short double-helical elements and three loops (D, anti-codon, and T loops). Further hydrogen bonds mediate the characteristic L-shaped molecular structure. tRNAs have two regions of fundamental functional importance: the anti-codon, which is responsible for specific mRNA codon recognition, and the 3' end, to which the tRNAs corresponding amino acid is attached (by aminoacyl-tRNA synthetases). tRNAs cope with the degeneracy of the genetic code in two manners: having more than one tRNA (with a specific anti-codon) for a particular amino acid; and 'wobble' base-pairing, i.e. permitting non-standard base-pairing at the 3rd anti-codon position. The record is from RNAcentral. Lineage: Bacteria; Bacillati; Candidatus Margulisiibacteriota. RNAcentral also lists the same sequence under 1 other name.